AGGCACUACGGUGCUGAAGCAACAAAUGCCCUGCUUCCAGGAAAAGCCUCUAAGCAUCAGGUAACAUCAAAUCGUACCCCAAACCGACACAGGUGGUCAGGUAGAGAAUACCAAGGCGCUUGAGAGAACUCGGGUGAAGGAACUAGGCAAAAUGGUGCCGUAACUUCGGGAGAAGGCACGCUGACACGUAGGUGAAGUGAUUUACUCAUGGAGCUGAAGUCAGUCGAAGAUACCAGCUGGCUGCAACUGUUUAUUAAAAACACAGCACUGUGCAAACACGAAAGUGGACGUAUACGGUGUGACGCCUGCCCGGUGCCGGAAGGUUAAUUGAUGGGGUCAGCGCAAGCGAAGCUCCUGAUCGAAGCCCCGGUAAACGGCGGCCGUAACUAUAACGGUCCUAAGGUAGCGAAAUUCCUUGUCGGGUAAGUUCCGACCUGCACGAAUGGCGUAAUGAUGGCCAGGCUGUCUCCACCCGAGACUCAGUGAAAUUGAACUCGCUGUGAAGAUGCAGUGUACCCGCGGCAAGACGGAAAGACCCCGUGAACCUUUACUAUAGCUUGACACUGAACAUUGAGCCUUGAUGUGUAGGAUAGGUGGGAGGCUUUGAAGUGUGGACGCCAGUCUGCAUGGAGCCGACCUUGAAAUACCACCCUUUAAUGUUUGAUGUUCUAACGUGGACCCGUGAUCCGGGUUGCGGACAGUGUCUGGUGGGUAGUUUGACUGGGGCGGUCUCCUCCUAAAGAGUAACGGAGGAGCACGAAGGUUGGCUAAUCCUGGUCGGACAUCAGGAGGUUAGUGCAAUGGCAUAAGCCAGCUUGACUGCGAGCGUGACGGCGCGAGCAGGUGCGAAAGCAGGUCAUAGUGAUCCGGUGGUUCUGAAUGGAAGGGCCAUCGCUCAACGGAUAAAAGGUACUCCGGGGAUAACAGGCUGAUACCGCCCAAGAGUUCAUAUCGACGGCGGUGUUUGGCACCUCGAUGUCGGCUCAUCACAUCCUGGGGCUGAAGUAGGUCCCAAGGGUAUGGCUGUUCGCCAUUUAAAGUGGUACGCGAGCUGGGUUUAGAACGUCGUGAGACAGUUCGGUCCCUAUCUGCCGUGGGCGCUGGAGAACUGAGGGGGGCUGCUCCUAGUACGAGAGGACCGGAGUGGACGCAUCACUGGUGUUCGGGUUGUCAUGCCAAUGGCACUGCCCGGUAGCUAAAUGCGGAAGAGAUAAGUGCUGAAAGCAUCUAAGCACGAAACUUGCCCCGAGAUGAGUUCUCCCUGAGACUUUAGGUCUCCUGAAGGAACGUUGAAGACGACGACGUUGAUAGGCCGGGUGUGUAAGCGCAGCGAUGCGUUGAGCUAACCGGUACUAAUGAACCGUGAGGCUUAACCUUACA
Molecule: ribosomal RNA, 1380 nt
Filed under: Salmonella enterica
Lineage: Bacteria; Pseudomonadati; Pseudomonadota; Gammaproteobacteria; Enterobacterales; Enterobacteriaceae
Description: partial 23S ribosomal RNA
Rfam family: Bacterial large subunit ribosomal RNA
Source: RNAcentral